RNAcentral lists this ribosomal RNA (584 nucleotides) under uncultured Pseudomonas sp. RNAcentral describes it as "bacterial SSU rRNA". It matches the Rfam family "Bacterial small subunit ribosomal RNA", at positions 102 to 682 of the family's 1533-position model. The record is from RNAcentral. Lineage: Bacteria; Pseudomonadati; Pseudomonadota; Gammaproteobacteria; Pseudomonadales; Pseudomonadaceae.
ACGGGUGAGUAAUGCCUAGGAAUCUGCCUGGUAGUGGGGGAUAACGUUCGGAAACGGACGCUAAUACCGCAUACGUCCUACGGGAGAAAGCAGGGGACCUUAUGGCCUUGCGCUAUCAGAUGAGCCUAGGUCGGAUUAGCUAGUUGGUGAGGUAAUGGCUCACCAAGGCGACGAUCCGUAACUGGUCUGAGAGGAUGAUCAGUCACACUGGAACUGAGACACGGUCCAGACUCCUACGGGAGGCAGCAGUGGGGAAUAUUGGACAAUGGGCGAAAGCCUGAUCCAGCCAUGCCGCGUGUGCGAAGAAGGUCUUCGGAUUGUAAAGCACUUUAAGUUGGGAGGAAGGGCAGUUACCUAAUACGUGAUUGUUUUGACGUUACCGACAGAAUAAGCACCGGCUAACUCUGUGCCAGCAGCCGCGGUAAUACAGAGGGUGCAAGCGUUAAUCGGAAUUACUGGGCGUAAAGCGCGCGUAGGUGGUUUGUUAAGUUGGAUGUGAAAUCCCCGGGCUCAACCUGGGAACUGCAUUCAAAACUGACUGACUAGAGUAUGGUAGAGGGUGGUGGAAUUUCCUGUGUAGCGGU